CAUGAAAAGCGAGAAGCGAAGCUCCCGCUUUUUUCAAGGAAUUUUUUUUAAAAAAUUAAAAUAAAUAUGGCAUAGAUAAUACAUGUAAUUGUAAGCAAAUGUUCAAUACUUAGAUUAAAAAACUAAAGAGUAACAUAAAUUAAAGCACAAAAUGAGCAUCCUAUUCUUCUUCAAGAUUGUUAAAUUCUUGUAUUCCACUAUCAUUAUUGUAUUGCUCGCCAUCUUCUCCAACUUCAUCAACUAGGGAAAAAAUUUUAGGGCAGAAAUUUUCUGGAAAAAAUUCGCCAACAUUUCAACACUUUAUGGACGUUUAGAAAUAAAAAGAAAAAGAAAAAGAAGAAGAAGAUUGAAAAUAAAAACAUACCCUGUUGAAUCUUGAAUUCGUUGGUUUUUUUGAGGACGAAAGGGCUGAUUUAAAGCUCUAGGUUGCUGCUGAAGAAUGAUUAAGACAGAGACUCACUCUAUUUUGGGUCUUUUUGAUUGAAAAGACACGUUUGGUCAUUUUAUUCCAAGAAGCGAUCGCUUCUUCCGCUUUUCCCGCUUCUCGCUUUUUUGGUAGAAGCGAACGCUUUUAUGUACCUGAGUCGCUUUUGGUACAGGUAGCGACAGACCCUUCGCUUCGCUUCUCGCUUUAACUUUUAUGUACCUGAUUCGCUUUUGGUACAGGUAGCGACAGACCCUUCGCUUCUCGCUUUAAGCGAGGAAGCGGUCGCUUUUUUGAACACUGGUUAUACUUGAAGUGCUA
RNAcentral lists this long non-coding RNA (745 nucleotides) under Nicotiana benthamiana. RNAcentral's name for it is "long non-coding RNA (NBEN_LNC037504)". Lineage: Eukaryota; Viridiplantae; Streptophyta; Magnoliopsida; Solanales; Solanaceae. The record is from RNAcentral.